GGUCGGUUCGGCCGGGUUUCACACAGGUGUUGCAUGGCUGUCGUCAGCUCGUGUCGUGAGAUGUUGGGUUAAGUCCCGCAACGAGCGCAACCCUCAUCCUUAGUUACCAUCAGGUAAUGCUGGGGACUUUAAGGAAACUGCCAGUGAUAAACUGGAGGAAGGUGGGGAUGAUGUCAAGUCAUCAUGGCCCUUAUGGAGUGGGCUACACACGUGCUACAAUGGUGGCUACAAUGGGCUGCAAAGUCGCGAGGCUAAGCUAAUCCCUUAAAAGCCAUCUCAGUUCGAAUUGUACUCUGCAACUCGAGUGCAUGAAGUUGGAAUCGCUAGUAAUCGUGGAUCAGCACGCCACGGUGAAUACGUUCUCGGGUCUUGUACACACUGCCCGUCACGCCAUGG
RNAcentral lists this ribosomal RNA (396 nucleotides) under Wolbachia endosymbiont of Tamarixia dryi. RNAcentral describes it as "bacterial SSU rRNA". It matches the Rfam family "Bacterial small subunit ribosomal RNA", at positions 1013 to 1407 of the family's 1533-position model. Lineage: Bacteria; Pseudomonadati; Pseudomonadota; Alphaproteobacteria; Rickettsiales; Anaplasmataceae. The record is from RNAcentral.